This 576-nucleotide ribosomal RNA is filed under the name Paracercomonas sp. 4-28.3. RNAcentral's name for it is "bacterial SSU rRNA". The stretch from base 1 to 350 matches the Rfam family "Eukaryotic small subunit ribosomal RNA", at positions 1480 to 1831 of the family's 1831-position model. The record is from RNAcentral. Lineage: Eukaryota; Cercozoa; Cercomonadida; Cercomonadidae.
UUCUGGGCCGCACGCGCGCUACACUGAUACGUGCAUCGAGCUUACAACCUAGGUCGAGAGGCCCGGGUAAUCUUUUCAAAUCGUAUCGUGCUGGGGAUAGAUCAUUGUAAUUAUUGAUCUUCAACGAGGAAUUCCUAGUAAGCGCGAGUCAUCAACUCGCACUGAUUACGUCCCUGCCCUUUGUACACACCGCCCGUCGCUGCUACCGAUUGAAUGCAUUAGUGAGCUGCAAGGACCGUCCUUCUGGGGGUCAAACCCUGGUUGGGUGGGAAUUGCCGCAAACUUGCGCAUUUAGAGGAAGCAAAAGUCGUAACAAGGUAUCCGUAGGUGAACCUGCGGAUGGAUCAUUAAACAAAUCCACGUAUCAACCAACGCGCACUUGUUAUUUUGGUAAAAACACCGCUCCCGCGGUGCAAGUAGCCAAAACCCUUUUUUUAACCCAUUGUACCAUUUUAAAGUAUUCUUUUUUCUUUGUCGCGGCCGAAAGGCGGACUUUCUUAAUGUAAGAAAUUUAUGUACAACUCUUAACAACGGAUAUCUAGGCUCUCGGAUCGAUGAAGAACGCAGCGAAAUGCG